GACGAACGCUGGCGGCGUGCUUAACACAUGCAAGUCGAACGGAAAGGCCCUGCUUUUGUGGGGUGCUCGAGUGGCGAACGGGUGAGUAACACGUGAGUAACCUGCCCUUGACUUUGGGAUAACUUCAGGAAACUGGGGCUAAUACCGGAUAGGAGCUCCUGCUGCAUGGUGGGGGUUGGAAAGUUUCGGCGGUUGGGGAUGGACUCGCGGCUUAUCAGCUUGUUGGUGGGGUAGUGGCUUACCAAGGCUUUGACGGGUAGCCGGCCUGAGAGGGUGACCGGCCACAUUGGGACUGAGAUACGGACCAGACUCCUACGGGAGGCAGCAGUGGGGAAUAUUGCACAAUGGGCGGAAGCCUGAUGCAGCAACGCCGCGUGCGGGAUGACGGCCUUCGGGUUGUGAACCGCUUUCGCCUGUGACGAAGCGUGAGUGACGGUAAUGGGUAAAGAAGCACCGGCUAACUACGUG
This 468-nucleotide ribosomal RNA is filed under the name uncultured bacterium. RNAcentral describes it as "partial 16S ribosomal RNA". It matches the Rfam family "Bacterial small subunit ribosomal RNA", at positions 28 to 507 of the family's 1533-position model. The record is from RNAcentral.